CAAAAGGGCUGUGAGGUAGGUACCUCUCUUGGUUUAACGAAUGUAGUUAAAUCAGGGCUGAAUCGCAAUCAAGAGAUUUGGGCAGCACAAUUUUUAGAAGCGCCAUGCACCGUCUGGUCGAAAGGCCUCGGAUGGUG
This is a small nuclear RNA of Schistocerca gregaria, 137 nucleotides long. RefSeq annotates it as U11 spliceosomal RNA. The transcript has a single exon. NCBI's taxonomy places the organism in Eukaryota, Metazoa, Arthropoda, Insecta, Orthoptera, Acrididae. The record is from RefSeq and is a predicted model, not a curated record.